UACAUCGAAACUGGGAACCACGUCUGCUUUGUAAUGAACAGGCUUGGAGUCACCCCUGCAGAUCCCUGCUCGCCUCUGGGCGGGGAAGGGUCAGUACCAGCUAGGACUCGGGAUGAGCUCUGGAGCCAUAGGUAGGAGAAAGGCAGAAUACUUGGAAAAAUCAUUCUUAAGGAAGUCCUUCCCAAACAGAAGGGCUGGGUGGAGCCCAGGUGGCUCCUGGGAAAGAUUCAGUGUCUUCACGGAAGCAAGCACCGAUUUCUUCGUGGUGAAGAGAAACCAACCUUGCUCAUCCCCUCUGCCUGUGUCUGGAGACCUCUGACCAGACCUUAACCAAGAUGAGAAAAAAUGAAGUUCAAAAGCGUUGUCUACCUGAAGUCACUCAGCCAGUCAGUCAUCUCCUGGAACACGACGGGUGCUCAGAUACGUGUGGCCUGAGUGAAGUGACAGGAUGCGGUUACUUGGUUUGGGCUGGCUCCGAAGCCCAGGCCCAUCCCACUGCUGCACAGCGCCAUGUGAAGGGCCGUCUGGGAAAAUUCGAGACCCCUCUUUCAGUCUUUCUCUUUUUCUCUAGUACUUUUGCUCAACUUCCAACUCAUCGAAGGCUUCAAGUUCCUGCAGAACUGCAGAUGCAGUUCUGUUUGCACCAUGAACAUCUCUCAGCCACAUUUAGGGAUAGACUCCUAAUAACGAGCACAUAUUUUCUUUUCCUAUCAUUUUCCCUCAGCUUUAUUCAGAUAUGAUGGAAAUAAAAAUUGUGUAUAUCUAGGUUGUACAACAUAA
Molecule: long non-coding RNA, 780 nt
Organism: Artibeus jamaicensis (Jamaican fruit-eating bat)
Lineage: Eukaryota; Metazoa; Chordata; Mammalia; Chiroptera; Phyllostomidae
Exons: 3
Source: RefSeq, a predicted model, not a curated record